This 1432-nucleotide long non-coding RNA is filed under the name Phoenix dactylifera (date palm). RNAcentral describes it as "long non-coding RNA (PDAC_LNC014703)". Lineage: Eukaryota; Viridiplantae; Streptophyta; Magnoliopsida; Arecales; Arecaceae. The record is from RNAcentral.
AGGGGCGGCCCAAGCCCUAGGCGACCGAGGCGGUCGCCUAAGGCCUCAGCCUCAAGGAAGGCCUCCGGGCUCCGGCCUUCCACAGUUCCACUCUCCUGCCAGGGCAUCACGAUUUUGGGAUUGGGAUCGCCAUUCGCCGCCGAAGAAGAAGUCGGAAGAGUCACCCGUCACGGAAGGAAGCUACGAGCCUACGAGCCUUAGCUGCCUACCUCUUGCGGUCUUGCCUACGAAGUAGGAUCCAGGCAUCCAGCCUCCACUCUCCAGGCAUGGCACUGGCAGCAUAGCCAACGCGGCAACGCCCAACGGGCAAUGGACAGCGGGGCUAUGGCCUAUCAGCUUAUGGAGGGCCCUAUGCCCCUACGAUCCUCAUUCCCCCAUAGCCCAUCUUCUCCAUCCGCCGGCCGUAGUCACCAGAGGCAGAAUGGCAGUCUUGGCAGAAUCCCAGAUAAGUAGAUAACCAGAGAGAGUCCUUCUCCAUUUCUCCUUCUAAACUCUUCUUCAAUCUUCCGUUCUUCCUUCCCUAAUCCCCAGCCCUAGUUGAUUCAAUCAUUCAAUCUUCGGUUCUUCCGAGCAGGGGCGGCCCAAUCUUCCGUUCCGAGUUCCGACUUCCGAGACUCCGACUCUCCGAGUUCCGUCCUUCGCUCGUUCGCCGUCCUCGGCUCGGUUCUUCCGACUUCCGAGACUCCGACUGUCCGAGUUGACGAGUUCCGUCCUUCGCCCGUUCGCCGUCCUCGGCUCGAUUCUUCCGACUUCCGAGUUCCGUCCUCGGUCCUUCGCCUAUCUCUUCUCCUUCUCGACCCAGCCCGGUAGCCCCCCGUCCUCGCCGCCGUCGCCGGAGCCCGGAGGUGAGCUUCCGUCCCCUGUGUUCUGUGUUCACUGUUCAGUGUUCUGUUUGUUUGUUGGGUUACUUGGGUUGGGUAAUGCCGUAAUGGGUUAUUGGGUAAUGGUAGUUAACUAGUUAUUACUUACUUAUUUUUGUUAUUAUAUACUCAUAAUCCUAUUGCAGGUUAUUGGGUAUUUGGGUGAUUGAAUAAUAUAAAGUUUUAACAGAUUUCCCUUCUUUCCCUAAAUUCCCUGUCAGUGAAAAUUCCUGGAGCACCUAUUUGAAAGAAUGGAAUAUAUUAUAUACGAUGUAAAUAUGUAAUGACUUAUGAAUGCAGUUUUCCAAAAGUUGAUUGAGAAUUUUCAUCUAGUUCACCUGCUAAAUCAUCCAAUGAUCUGAUCCCAAAAGGCCAAAACCAUACAUCUGUCUCAGUUUUCCUACACGCCCAGACGCCCUUGGAGCUCUUUACUCUUUACUUCUUUAGUAGGCUAUAAAAUAAAGCAUUUAAGGUCAAUUCCUUAUUCCUAUACAAAAGCUGAAUUAGUUGUUUCAAGACAUUUCCAUUGAUAUACCUCGGCCUUUUUAGAGACAAAUAACACCCUUGGGGCU